Molecule: ribosomal RNA, 253 nt
Filed under: uncultured bacterium
Lineage: Bacteria
Description: partial 16S ribosomal RNA
Rfam family: Bacterial small subunit ribosomal RNA
Source: RNAcentral
CACGUAGGGCGCAAGCGUUGUCCGGAAUUAUUGGGCGUAAAGAGCUCGUAGGCGGUUCCGUAAGUCAGGUGUGAAAAAUCUGGGCUCAACCCAGUGGAGCACCUGAUACUGCGGUGACUCGAGUCCGGUAGGGGAGUGUGGAAUUCCUGGUGUAGCGGUGAAAUGUGCAGAUAUCAGGAGGAACACCGGUGGCGAAGGCGGGUCUCUGGGCCGAUACUGACGCUGAGGAGCGAAAGCGUGGGGAGCGAACAGG